GAGGGGUCCGCGCCUGAUUAGCUAGUUGGUGAGGUAAUGGCUCACCAAGGCUUCGAUCAGUAGCCGUCCUGAGAGGGAGCACGGCCACACUGGAACUGAGACACGGUCCAGACUCCUACGGGAGGCAGCAGUGGGGAAUUUUUGGCAAUGGGCGAAAGCCUGACCAAGCAACGCCGCGUGGGUGAUGAAGUAUCUUGGUACGUAAAACCCUUUCGGCAGGGACGAACUCAAUGACGGUACCUGCGGAAGAAGCCCCGGCUAACUCCGUGCCAGCAGCCGCGGUAAUACGGGGGGGGCAAGCGUUGUUCGGAAUUACUGGGCGUAAAGGGCGCGUAGGCGGUCAGAUAAGUCAGCUGUGAAAACCUCGGGCUUAACUCGAGGCCUGCAGUUGAAACUGUCUGGCUGGAGUGUGGGAGAGGAGAGUGGAAUUCCCGGUGUAGCGGUGAAAUGCGUAGAUAUCGGGAGG
This 466-nucleotide ribosomal RNA is filed under the name uncultured Acidobacteriota bacterium. RNAcentral's name for it is "bacterial SSU rRNA". It matches the Rfam family "Bacterial small subunit ribosomal RNA", at positions 224 to 704 of the family's 1533-position model. The record is from RNAcentral. Lineage: Bacteria; Pseudomonadati; Acidobacteriota.